GUAGGGGGCCAGCGUUGCUCGGAAUUACUGGGUGUAAAGGGUUCGUAGGCGGUGUGGCAAGUCGGGAGUGAAAUCUCUGGGCUCAACCCAGAGGCUGCUUCCGAAACUGCCGUGCUUGAGUGUGGGAGAGGCGCGUGGAAUUGCAGGUGUAGCGGUGAAAUGCGUAGAUAUCUGCAGGAACACCCGUGGCGAAAGCGGCGCGCUGGACCACAACUGACGCUGAGGAACGAAAGCUAGGGGAGCAAACAGGAUUAGAUACCCUGGUAGUCCUAGCCCUAAACGAUCAGGACUUGGGGUGCCGCACGUUCGUGCGUCGUCCCGGAGCUAACGCGUUAAGUCCUGCACCCGGGGAGUACGGUCGCAAGACUG
This 369-nucleotide ribosomal RNA is filed under the name uncultured bacterium. RNAcentral's name for it is "bacterial SSU rRNA". It matches the Rfam family "Bacterial small subunit ribosomal RNA", at positions 527 to 896 of the family's 1533-position model. The record is from RNAcentral.